UACGUAGGGGGCUAGCGUUGUCCGGAAUCAUUGGGCGUAAAGCGCGUGUAGGCGGCCCGGUAAGUCCGCUGUGAAAGUCGGGGGCUCAACCCUCGGAAGCCGGUGGAUACUGUCGGGCUAGAGUACGGAAGAGGCGAGUGGAAUUCCUGGUGUAGCGGUGAAAUGCGCAGAUAUCAGGAGGAACACCAAUUGCGAAGGCAGCUCGCUACACAUAUAUUGACUCUGAGGCGCGAAAGCUAGGGGAGCAAACGGG
RNAcentral lists this ribosomal RNA (253 nucleotides) under uncultured bacterium. Its description in RNAcentral is "partial 16S ribosomal RNA". It matches the Rfam family "Bacterial small subunit ribosomal RNA", at positions 524 to 776 of the family's 1533-position model. The record is from RNAcentral.